GGGCCCGCACAAGCGGUGGAGCAUGUGGUUUAAUUCGAUGAUACGCGAGGAACCUUACCAAGGCUUAAAUGUAGGGCGACGUACCCGGAAACGGGUAUUUCUUCGGACGACCUACAAGGUGCUGCAUGGUUGUCGUCAGCUCGUGCCGUGAGGUGUCGGGUUAAGUCCCAUAACGAGCGCAACCCCUACCUUUAGUUGCCAUCGGGUAAAGCCGGGGACUCUAGAGGAACUGCCAGUGUAAACUGUGAGGAAGGUGGGGAUGACGUCAAAUCAUCACGGCCCUUACGUCUUGGGCUACACACGUGCUACAAUGGCAAGUACAAUGAGCAGCCACCUGGUGACAGGGAGCGAAUCUACAAAGCUUGUCUCAGUUCGGAUUGAAGUCUGCAACUCGACUUCAUGAAGUUGGAAUCGCUAGUAAUCGGAUAUC
RNAcentral lists this ribosomal RNA (430 nucleotides) under uncultured bacterium. Its description in RNAcentral is "bacterial SSU rRNA". It matches the Rfam family "Bacterial small subunit ribosomal RNA", at positions 917 to 1350 of the family's 1533-position model. The record is from RNAcentral.